RNAcentral lists this ribosomal RNA (325 nucleotides) under uncultured bacterium. Its description in RNAcentral is "bacterial SSU rRNA". It matches the Rfam family "Bacterial small subunit ribosomal RNA", at positions 28 to 334 of the family's 1533-position model. The record is from RNAcentral.
GAUGAACGCUGGCGGCGUGCUUAACACAUGCAAGUCGAACGAAGCACCUUAUUCUGAUUUCUUCGGAAUGAAAAUUUGGUGACUGAGUGGCGGACGGGUGAGUAACGCGUGGGUAACCUGCCUCAUACAGGGGAUAACAGUUAGAAAUGGCUGCUAAUACCCCAUAAGACCACAGCACCGCAUGGUGCAGGGGUAAAACUCCGGUGGUAUGAGAUGGACCCGCGUCUGAUUAGGUAGUUGGUGGGGUAACGGCCUACCAAGCCGACGAUCAGUAGCCGACCUGGAGAGGGUGACCGGCCACCAUUGGGACUGAGACACGGCCCAA